UGCAAGUCGAGCGAACGGACGAGAAGCUUGCUUCUCUGAUGUUAGCGGCGGACGGGUGAGUAACACGUGGAUAACCUACCUAUAAGACUGGGAUAACUUCGGGAAACCGUAGCUAAUACCGGAUGAUAUUUUGAACCGCAUGGUUCAAAAGUGAAAGACGGUCUUGCUGUCACUUAUAGAUGGAUCCGCGCUGCAUUAGCUAGUUGGUAAGGUAACGGCUUACCAAGGCAACGAUGCAUAGCCGACCUGAGAGGGUGAUCGGCCACACUGGAACUGAGACACGGUCCAGACUCCUACGGGAGGCAGCAGUAGGGAAUCUUCCGCAAUGGGCGAAAGCCUGACGGAGCAACGCCGCGUGAGUGAUGAAGGUCUUCGGAUCGUAAAACUCUGUUAUUAGGGAAGAACAUAUGUGUAAGUAACUGUGCACAUCUUGACGGUACCUAAUCAGAAAGCCACGGCUAACUACGUGCCAGCAGCCGCGGUAAUACGUAGGUGGCAAGCGUUAUCCGGAAUUAUUGGGCGUAAAGCGCGCGUAGGCGGUUUUUUAAGUCUGAUGUGAAAGCCCACGGCUCAACCGUGGAGGGUCAUUGGAAACUGGAAAACUUGAGUGCAGAAGAGGAAAGUGGAAUUCCAUGUGUAGCGGUGAAAUGCGCAGAGAUAUGGAGGAACACCAGUGGCGAAGGCGACUUUCUGGUCUGUAACUGACGCUGAUGUGCGAAAGCGUGGGGAUCAAACAGGAUUAGAUACCCUGGUAGUCCACGCCGUAAACGAUGAGUGCUAAGUGUUAGGGGGUUUCCGCCCCUUAGUGCUGCAGCUAACGCAUUAAGCACUCCCGGCUCAACCGUGGAGGGUCAUUGGAAACUGGAAAACUUGAGUGCAGAAGAGGAAAGUGGAAUUCCAUGUGUAGCGGUGAAAUGCGCAGAGAUAUGGAGGAACACCAGUGGCGAAGGCGACUUUCUGGUCUGUAACUGACGCUGAUGUGCGAAAGCGUGGGGAUCAAACAGGAUUAGAUACCCUGGUAGUCCACGCCGUAAACGAUGAGUGCUAAGUGUUAGGGGGUUUCCGCCCCUUAGUGCUGCAGCUAACGCAUUAAGCACUCCGCCUGGGGAGUACGACCGCAAGGUUGAAACUCAAAGGAAUUGACGGGGACCCGCACAAGCGGUGGAGCAUGUGGUUUAAUUCGAAGCAACGCGAAGAACCUUACCAAAUCUUGACAUCCUUUGACAACUCUAGAGAUAGAGCCUUCCCCUUCGGGGGACAAAGUGACAGGUGGUGCAUGGUUGUCGUCAGCUCGUGUCGUGAGAUGUUGGGUUAAGUCCCGCAACGAGCGCAACCCUUAAGCUUAGUUGCCAUCAUUAAGUUGGGCACUCUAAGUUGACUGCCGGUGACAAACCGGAGGAAGGUGGGGAUGACGUCAAAUCCCAUCAUGCCCCUUAUGAUUUGGGCUACACACGUGCUACAAUGGACAAUACAAAGGGCAGCGAAACCGCGAGGUCAAGCAAAUCCCAUAAAGUUGUUCUCAGUUCGGAUUGUAGUCUGCAACUCGACUACAUGAAGCUGGAAUCGCUAGUAAUCGUAGAUCAGCAUGCUACGGUGAAUACGUUCCCGGGUCUUGUACACACCGCCCGUCACACCACGAGAGUUUGUAACACCCGAAGCCGGUGGAGUAACCUUUUAGGAGCUAGCCGUCGAAU
This 1694-nucleotide ribosomal RNA is filed under the name Staphylococcus aureus. Its description in RNAcentral is "bacterial SSU rRNA". It matches the Rfam family "Bacterial small subunit ribosomal RNA". The record is from RNAcentral. Lineage: Bacteria; Bacillati; Bacillota; Bacilli; Caryophanales; Staphylococcaceae.